UUUGCCUCCAGAACUCUCAAUAUCCUGUGGAGCAGAUGGAAAACCUCCCCGGAGACACAGAAAAAUAAAUGACUUUUGUUCCUGUGGAUGCCACACAUCAC
Long non-coding RNA from Lemur catta (Ring-tailed lemur), 101 nucleotides. RefSeq lists it as uncharacterized. Lineage: Eukaryota; Metazoa; Chordata; Mammalia; Primates; Lemuridae. The transcript is spliced from 3 exons. The record is from RefSeq and is a predicted model, not a curated record.